GCAAAGCACAUGUGUCCUGUGGCUUAGGAACCUCGUCAUUGUCUCCGGAGCUGAAGCAGCUGUGGGAGCCAGGGGCUGUGUGGCUCAGGGUUUAAAGCGAGGUAUCUGGAGAAUUUUGGAGAACUCUUGCAUUUCUGACCCCUUAAUUCAGGGCCUUGUGAGAAAAUUGGGUCAAAAGAAGACAGAAAGGAGCCUAGAAAAUAUCAUAUGAUCUUCUGUCAUUCCUGCCACUCCAGCCACUAGUGUACCUGCUGGAAAGCCGCCUCACCAGGACAGGCAGAGCCACAGAUGCCAGCCACACUAGAUGGUCCUCAUGAUCUGAGGGGAGGGCAGGUUUGGAAAGGCCAGAGCCGACCCAAGUUGGUCUUUAUGCUCAAGCAUGUGUGACAGAAUUGGGCUCUUGUUUGCAUACUCUUCAGUUAUAAUUUUAAAGCCACUGCCUUUCCCAUACCCUCAUACCUGAAUAUUCAAUCAGGGGAACACUGAGCACCACUUUGGGAAAUUAGGAAGAUGUCAACAUAAAUGGGGUCACCCAGCAGGGACCCCAAGCCAGUGACUGUGUCAUUUUCUAAAAAAUAAGGCAGAAACAAAACUUUACCAAAUCUUCAUAUUAAAUUGAC
This 620-nucleotide long non-coding RNA is filed under the name Ursus maritimus (polar bear). RNAcentral's name for it is "lncRNA (ENSUMAG00000004056.1)". Lineage: Eukaryota; Metazoa; Chordata; Mammalia; Carnivora; Ursidae. The record is from RNAcentral.